GACGCAGCACACUAAGCUUAACACAAUGUGUGCACUCAAUUUUUUGCCUACACCUGAGCUGGCCAUCUUGCAAGCAAGCGACAUAUAUAUAAUUAUUAGCGCUAGUGGAAUCCUAAAAAUGCAGAAAUCGUUAAACAAAUGUCACUAUCCCUUUCACUCAUGCAUAAUCUGCAAUAGAAAUGCCUUAAUCUAUAGUGCUAAAUGUAUGAUCUUUUGCUAUGUCUAUACUCGUAUCUUACCUUUUCUGUUGAGCAGCAUAGAAGAACUCCUAGAUAAGCAACAUUACUAUAUAAAAUAUGUGCAGUACUCUCUCAUG
Molecule: non-coding RNA, 316 nt
Organism: Pelobates cultripes (western spadefoot toad)
Lineage: Eukaryota; Metazoa; Chordata; Amphibia; Anura; Pelobatidae
Source: the annotation of a GenBank genome assembly